Molecule: ribosomal RNA, 465 nt
Filed under: uncultured bacterium
Lineage: Bacteria
Description: partial 16S ribosomal RNA
Rfam family: Bacterial small subunit ribosomal RNA
Source: RNAcentral
GGCGAACGCUGGCGGCGUGCUUAACACAUGCAAGUCGAACGGAAAGGCCCCUUUGGGGGUACUCGAGUGGCGAACGGGUGAGUAACACGUGAGUAACCUGCCCUUGACUUCGGGAUAACUUCAGGAAACUGGGGCUAAUACCGGAUAGGAAUCCUUGCUGCAUGGUGGGGGUUGGAAAGCUUCGGCGGUUUUGGAUGGACUCGCGGCUUAUCAGCUUGUUGGUGGGGUAGUGGCUUACCAAGGCUUUGACGGGUAGCCGGCCUGAGAGGGCGACCGGCCACAUUGGGACUGAGAUACGGCCCAGACUCCUACGGGAGGCAGCAGUGGGGAAUAUUGCACAAUGGGCGGAAGCCUGAUGCAGCAACGCCGCGUGCGGGAUGACGGCCUUCGGGUUGUAAACCGCGUUCAGCAGGGGCGAAGCUUGUGGUGACGGUACCUGCAGAAGAAGCACCGGCUAACUACGUG